GGUGUAACAUCCACUACUGAGUCUGAAAUCACAACAGACCUGAUAACCAAUAUGUCAAGUCUAAGUUCCCAAGACAACCAUAGUUUAAAAGAUCCUGCAAACGCAUCCUUAGAAUCGACUACACUUACUGAUAAUACAGAACGUGCUUCAG
Molecule: long non-coding RNA, 151 nt
Organism: Cyprinus carpio (common carp)
Lineage: Eukaryota; Metazoa; Chordata; Actinopteri; Cypriniformes; Cyprinidae
Exons: 3
Source: RefSeq, a predicted model, not a curated record